GAUUACUCAACCAAGCGUUGCAAGAAUCACGGUUAGUCAAGAAGGAACUGGCCAGGUGCGUUGCAGAUCCCUCGCGCAAGGAGUGGCUGGAGGGAUCUUGACAAUAGCAAGGAUUGUCUGGUUUCACUGACCAGACUGGCGAGC
This is a long non-coding RNA of Xiphophorus couchianus (Monterrey platyfish), 144 nucleotides long. RefSeq lists it as uncharacterized. The transcript is spliced from 2 exons. The record is from RefSeq and is a predicted model, not a curated record. NCBI's taxonomy places the organism in Eukaryota, Metazoa, Chordata, Actinopteri, Cyprinodontiformes, Poeciliidae.